UCAUAGAAAUAAAUAAGAAAAUUCUACCAGAGUACUAAGAAUAAAAAAUUUAAAACUCAAAGGGCUUGGCGGUGUUUUAGACUACUUAGGGGAACCUGUCUCAUAAUCGACAAUCCACGAUAAACCUAACCUUUUCUUGCAUUCAGUUUGUAUACCGUCGUCGCCAGGUAACUUUUAAGAUUGGAACAGUUAGCUAGCUAAAUACUUAAAUUAAGACGUCAGAUCAAGGUGCAGCUAAUGAUAAGGUGUAGAUGGGUUACAAUUAUUACAUUUAUAAAAACGGACCAGCAGCCUUAAAGGCAAUUGGAAAGGAGGACUUAAAAGUAAAAUAAACUAUACAAGCAUUUUGAAUAAAGCUCUGAAACGUGC
Molecule: ribosomal RNA, 369 nt
Filed under: Pseudonebularia cucumerina
Lineage: Eukaryota; Metazoa; Mollusca; Gastropoda; Neogastropoda; Mitridae
Description: Mitra cucumerina partial 12S ribosomal RNA
Rfam family: Bacterial small subunit ribosomal RNA
Source: RNAcentral